This 524-nucleotide ribosomal RNA is filed under the name uncultured bacterium. RNAcentral describes it as "partial 16S ribosomal RNA". It matches the Rfam family "Bacterial small subunit ribosomal RNA", at positions 28 to 523 of the family's 1533-position model. The record is from RNAcentral.
GACGAACGCUGGCGGCGUGCCUAAUACAUGCAAGUCGAGCGCAGGAAAUCGACGGAACCCUUCGGGGGGAAGUCGUCGGAAUGAGCGGCGGACGGGUGAGUAACACGUAAAGAACCUGCCCUCAGGUCUGGGAUAACCACGAGAAAUCGGGGCUAAUACCGGAUGGGUCAUCGGACCGCAUGGUCCGAGGAUGAAAGGCGCUUCGGCGUCGCCUGGGGAUGACUUUGCGGUGCAUUAGCUAGUUGGUGGGGUAAUGGCCCACAAAGGCGACGAUGGAUAGCCGACCUGAGAGGGUGAUCGGCCACACUGGGACUGAGACACGGCCCAGACUCCUACGGGAGGCAGCAGUAGGGAAUCUUCCACAAUGGACGAAAGUCUGAUGGAGCAACGCCGCGUGAACGAUGAAGGCCUUCGGGUCGUAAAGUUCUGUUGUAAGGGAAGAACAAGUGCCGCAGGCAAUGGCGGCACCUUGACGGUACCUUGCGAGAAAGCCACGGCUAACUACGUGCCAGCCGCCGCCGUAA